Molecule: ribosomal RNA, 468 nt
Filed under: uncultured bacterium
Lineage: Bacteria
Description: partial 16S ribosomal RNA
Rfam family: Bacterial small subunit ribosomal RNA
Source: RNAcentral
GACGAACGCUGGCGGCGUGCUUAACACAUGCAAGUCGAACGGAAAGGCCCUGCUUUUGUGGGGUGCUCGAGUGGCGAACGGGUGAGUAACACGUGAGUAACCUGCCCUUGACUUUGGGAUAACUUCAGGAAACUGGGGCUAAUACCGGAUAGGAGCUCCUGCUGCAUGGUGGGGGUUGGAAAGUUUCGGCGGUUGGGGAUGGACUCGCGGCUUAUCAGCUUGUUGGUGGGGUAGUGGCUUACCAAGGCUUUGACGGGUAGCCGGCCUGAGAGGGUGACCGGCCACAUUGGGACUGAGAUACGGCCCAGACUCCUACGGGAGGCAACGGUGGGGAAUAUUGCACAAUGGGCGGAAGCCUGAUGCAGCAACGCCGCGUGCGGGAUGACGGCCUUCGGGUUGUAAACCGCUUUCGCCUGUGACGAAGCGUGAGUGACGGUAAUGGGUAAAGAAGCACCGGCUAACUACGUG